Molecule: ribosomal RNA, 496 nt
Filed under: uncultured bacterium
Lineage: Bacteria
Description: partial 16S ribosomal RNA
Rfam family: Bacterial small subunit ribosomal RNA
Source: RNAcentral
GAUGAACGCUGGCGGCGUGCCUAAUACAUGCAAGUCGAGCGAACAGACGAGGAGCUUGCUCCUCUGACGUUAGCGGCGGACGGGUGAGUAACACGUGGAUAACCUACCUAUAAGACUGGGAUAACUUCGGGAAACCGGAGCUAAUACCGGAUAAUAUAUUGAACCGCAUGGUUCAAUAGUGAAAGACGGUUUUGCUGUCACUUAUAGAUGGAUCCGCGCCGCAUUAGCUAGUUGGUAAGGUAACGGCUUACCAAGGCAACGAUGCGUAGCCGACCUGAGAGGGUGAUCGGCCCCACUGGAACUGAGACCCGGUCCAGCCUCCUACGGGAGGCAGCAGUGGGGAAUCUUCCGCAAUGGGCGAAAGCCUGACGGAGCAACGCCGCGUGAGUGAUGAAGGUUUUCGGUUCGUAAAACUCUUUUAUUAGGGAAGAAAAAAUGUGUAAGUAACUAUGCCCGUCUUGACGGUACCUAAUCAAAAAGCCCCGGCUAACUACGU